This 261-nucleotide ribosomal RNA is filed under the name uncultured prokaryote. RNAcentral's name for it is "partial 16S ribosomal RNA". It matches the Rfam family "Bacterial small subunit ribosomal RNA", at positions 524 to 784 of the family's 1533-position model. The record is from RNAcentral.
UACGUAGGGGGCAAGCGUUAUCCGGAUUUACUGGGUGUAAAGGGAGCGCAGACGGAACUGCAAGUCUGAUGUGAAAGCCCGGGGCUCAACCGCGGGACUGCAUCAGAUACUGUAGAUCUGGAGUGCCGGAGGGGCAAGCGGAAUUCCUGGUGUAGCGGUGAAAUGCGUAGAUAUCAGGAGGAACACCGGCGGCGAAGGCGGCUUGCUGGACGGCAACUGACGUUGAGGCUCGAAAGCGUGGGGAGCAAACAGGAUUAGAUA